Molecule: RNase P RNA, 365 nt
Filed under: Caldifarciminota bacterium
Lineage: Bacteria; Pseudomonadati; Caldifarciminota
Description: RNase P RNA component class A
Rfam family: Bacterial RNase P class A
About the family: Ribonuclease P (RNase P) is a ubiquitous endoribonuclease, found in archaea, bacteria and eukarya as well as chloroplasts and mitochondria. Its best characterised activity is the generation of mature 5'-ends of tRNAs by cleaving the 5'-leader elements of precursor-tRNAs. Cellular RNase Ps are ribonucleoproteins.
Source: RNAcentral
GAGGCGGGUCGGACGGUCGCCCCUUACGGGGAGGAAAGUCCGAGCACCCAGGGCGAGGCACUCGUUAAGAGCGAGGCUGCGGGCUGGCAACGGUCCGUGGACGGACAGUGUCACAGAAACAACACCGCCGCGUCUUCAGACACGGUAAGGGUGAAAAAGUGCGGUAAGAGCGCACUAUCCGGGAUGGCGACAUCCAGGAUGGAAAAACCCUGCCCGGUGCAAGACCAACAUGAGAACCGGACUGGCCCGGUCCAUUCAAGUUCUCGGGUAGGUCGCUUGAGACGUGCGGGCAACCGCACGCCCAGAUAAAUGACCGUCACCCGGCUUGCCGGGGACAGAACUCGGCUUACAGACCCGCCUCCUGU